This 496-nucleotide ribosomal RNA is filed under the name uncultured bacterium. Its description in RNAcentral is "partial 16S ribosomal RNA". It matches the Rfam family "Bacterial small subunit ribosomal RNA", at positions 28 to 507 of the family's 1533-position model. The record is from RNAcentral.
GAUGAACGCUGGCGGCGUGCCUAAUACAUGCAAGUCGAGCGAACAGACGAGGAGCUUGCUCCUUUGACGUUAGCGGCGGACGGGUGAGUAACACGUAGGUAACCUACCUAUAAGACUGGGAUAACUUCGGGAAACCGGAGCUAAUACCGGAUAAUAUUUCGAACCGCAUGGUUCGAUAGUGAAAGAUGGCUUUGCUAUCACUUAUAGAUGGACCUGCGCCGUAUUAGCUAGUUGGUAAGGUAACGGCUUACCAAGGCAACGAUACGUAGCCGACCUGAGAGGGGGAUCGGCCACACGGGAACUGAGACACGGUCCAGACUCCUACGGGAGGCAGCAGUAGGAAUCUUCCGCAAUGGGCGAAAGCCUGACGGAGCAACGCCGCGUGAGUGAUGAAGGUCUUCGGAUCGUAAAACUCUGUUAUUAGGGAAGAACAAACGUGUAAGUAACUGUGCACGUCUUGACGGUACCUAAUCAGAAAGCCACGGCUAACUACGUG